RNAcentral lists this non-coding RNA (98 nucleotides) under unclassified sequences. RNAcentral's name for it is "SAM-I-IV sequence". It matches the Rfam family "SAM-I/IV (S-adenosyl methionine) riboswitch aptamer". From Rfam's summary of the family: It is found upstream of a number of genes which code for proteins involved in methionine or cysteine biosynthesis. It has been found mostly in the order Actinomycetales. The record is from Rfam by way of RNAcentral.
AUCAUACAUCUAUAGAGAAGGGUAACCUUCACCAACCAGCCAAGACUUGGCAACGGUGGUUCAACGAUGUGGCUUUUGAAGCAACAAUAAAGUCAGAU